AAUCAGCACGGGCGUCGAGGAAACUCUGCGCCCGUGCACGCAUGUUGAAGGGCAGGAAAAGAAAU
RNAcentral lists this small RNA (65 nucleotides) under Pectobacterium atrosepticum SCRI1043. RNAcentral's name for it is "tpke11". It matches the Rfam family "tpke11". Rfam says of the family: In Yersinia located in ICR upstream dnaJ (chaperone)gene. Has temperature responsive RNA structure. The record is from Rfam by way of RNAcentral. Lineage: Bacteria; Pseudomonadati; Pseudomonadota; Gammaproteobacteria; Enterobacterales; Pectobacteriaceae.